RNAcentral lists this ribosomal RNA (253 nucleotides) under uncultured bacterium. Its description in RNAcentral is "partial 16S ribosomal RNA". It matches the Rfam family "Bacterial small subunit ribosomal RNA", at positions 524 to 776 of the family's 1533-position model. The record is from RNAcentral.
GACGAACCGUACGAACGUUAUUCGGAAUCACUGGGCUUAAAGGGUGCGUAGGCGGCCCGGGAAGUUGGGUGUGAAAGCCCUCGGCUCAACCGAGGAAUUGCGCCCAAAACUGCCGGGCUCGAGGGAGACAGAGGUGAGCGGAACUAAGGGUGGAGCGGUGAAAUGCGUUGAUAUCCUUAGGAACACCAGGAGCGAAAGCGGCUCACUGGGUCUCUUCUGACGCUGAGGCACGAAAGCUAGGGGAGCGAACGGG